UGAUAUCAAUGGCUACUGAAUCUUCAAUGGUCGCAGCACGUAUAUGAUUCAGGAAGUCAACAUCAAUUGGCACAAUAGUAGCGCAAAGCCGAAAUUACUCUAGCUUCAAUAAUGUCGCACAUUGUUGAUCAAACGCUGCUUCUCGAGCCUUUAGUAUAAGAUAUGAUCUCCUCGAUAAGGCAUCAGAAAGUCCUUGCUGCAUUCCAAGUUGAUAAG
Molecule: long non-coding RNA, 216 nt
Filed under: Physcomitrium patens
Lineage: Eukaryota; Viridiplantae; Streptophyta; Bryopsida; Funariales; Funariaceae
Description: long non-coding RNA (PPAT_LNC001689)
Source: RNAcentral